This 20490-nucleotide long non-coding RNA is filed under the name Medicago truncatula (barrel medic). RNAcentral's name for it is "long non-coding RNA (MTRU_LNC005414)". Lineage: Eukaryota; Viridiplantae; Streptophyta; Magnoliopsida; Fabales; Fabaceae. The record is from RNAcentral.
UUCCUAAGUCUCUCAUGCAAAGAUGACUGCAAUUGCAACCAUGAUUGCCAUGACAACUCCAAACAGAGAUGAAACAACAGAGUGAGCAUCAGAAGAAGGUGGUGGAGAAGGAGCAGGUGCACCUUCGGCUAGAACAGUGAUGACCAACUUCAUUUGACGAGCCGAACAGUGAUCAGCAACUCCACAAACAUACCACUUUCUUCCUUCAGUUUUUAGUUGAAUGAUAUCCUUUCCGGUAGAAAGUGCUUCGUUUUUUGGUGGAAAAGUGCAGCUCUGGAAGAGUGUGCCAUUCACUUUAAAAACAUUGUGCCUUGAAGGGUCAUAGUUGAAAACUAAAAAAGAGAUAAAAUAAAAUUAGAUCAUGUUUGAUAAAUACAAAAGUUAAUUAUAACUAUGAGAUACACUAAUUAGUUAAGCAAUUGACUAUGAACUAAAUAAACUUGAAACCAAAUGGACAUUUAUUUUUUCCUUUUACAUACCUAGGUUGUCUCCAACACGAAAAACUUUGUCUUGAGCCCAUUGAGUGUAAUCAAAAUCAACGGUCCAACCCUUGUCAUCACCAACAAUAUAAUCAGUUGCAGCAAUUGCAACUGAUGAAAGUAAAACCAUGGAAAUGGAAAGGAUCAAAACUACACGAGAAGAAGCCAUUUGAUCAAAAUUUGAGUUUGGAAAAUAUUUCUCUCUAAUUGUAGAAAUUAACUUAAAAAAAUGAGUGUCAAGAUUUUUUUUUCUCCCUAGAAUAUAAAAUCUCAAUCAAAAGAAUAGCUAGCUAGCAAAUGCUGCGCAAAUAUUUGUUUUGAUUUUGAUGAAUUGUGCAAUUCUUAUAUAGAUGUGUGUAUAUAGAUUUUAUCGACACGACAAUAAUAGAGUAUAUGUAUGCUAUUAUAUUCGGCUACCGGAUUUGGUCGGCUUUUACUAAGACGAGGUUGAAUUUCCACAACUAAUUAUAUUAUUACUUGAACAAAAAAAAAAAUAUUCUUUUGUUUUUAUUUAACCACGUGGACUAUCUGUGAGUCUGCAAAAAAAAUUAUUUGAAGCGAUUUGGCAAAUAAACAAAUAUGUAAUUUUAGAGAGUGGAACGUGUCAAAGGGAAAUAGAAAAAGUAUAGUUCCUCCUCCGGCCUUCAUUAUAAUUGAGUUGUCUCCAUAUACAAAUACUUGAGGAGGCUCGAAUAUCAAGUACUCAAGCUUAAUUAGUAGUUUUGAUUUUAUAGAAAAUAAAAAAUUGUUUAAGAUCUUGAUUUUCCAAUCUCGAUUAGAAGGCCACAUAUCUAAACAAAGACAUCAGGUCUCAAAAAAUUUGGUCGAAAAAUGCCUUAGAAAAAUUAAUUUGGAUAUAAUAUAUAAUAUUGUAAAUAAAUUAUUGAUAUUUGUAUAGCUUAAUUGGUACUGAAAAGGCCUAAAAUACCCUUGGUCAUGCCUUAGAAAAAUUUAUUUUUUCUAAUGUUUUUAUAAGUAUUUUGUUAAAAGAAAUAUUUUAAAAGGUCUUAUUAAAUUUUUUGCUUUGGACCUCUUAAAAUAUUUGGACUGGUCCUACUAUCACACUCUUCAAAGUAAAUAGAUAACUAUAUAUUUCAAGCUGAGCUUGGUAACACAAGUUUAUGACGUAAAUAGGGACAUUAAGAUGUUAAAAGGUUUUUGACGUGUGAAGAAGAAAAAAGAAGAUAAUUAUAUUUCAAAAGAGAAAAAGGGAUAUAUAUAUAUAUAUAUAUAUAUAUAUAUAUAUAUAUAUAUAUAUAUAUAUAUAUAUAUAUAUAUAUGAAAUGUUAAGGUAUUAUAAAAAAAAUAUUUAUCUUAAAAAUUGUGUAUUUUACAUUUUAAAAUUUAAAAAAAAAUGUUUUUUUUUAACAUAAAUGCUUAAUAUUGCAAAAUUGUACAUCACGACUAUUUCACAAAAUUACAUUGCUUCGACUUGUAUUGUUUAAUUAAUUUAAUUUCUUUCUUAGAUGAUGAGUUUGGUAUCCAAAGUUAACUCUCAGCUUAAUUCCAUGAGACCACGACCACUUCAACUUGGUAUUCAUGAUUUCAUGGCAUGCAAAACUGGUAUCAACUCAUUGACCAUGAUUUCAUGUGACGGUGCGGUGGCUUUUUCUUUUUAAGGCAUACAUAGUCUUUUUUGUCUAUAUCUAGUUAUAAUUGCAGUAUAGGAAACAAAGAAAGAUAUAUAUAACCAUUCCAAAAGCUUAAAUGAAAGGAUUGAAAUAUAACAAAAAAAAACUCGCGAGAUAUAGCAAGGCUCUUUUUUUAAUAUUAACUUUGUCUUUUCUUUCCAUUUUUAAGAGAAAUUUAGGUCAACAAAAGUGAAUGUAUUUGGACUGAAUUUUUAAAUAGAUACAUCAACUUUUGUUGACCCAAAAUUCUCUUAUAAAUAGGACCGGAGCUAAUCCUAAUAAAAUCCCAGGGAUGGAACUCAAUUACUUUUUCUUAUUUUUAUUUUAAAAGAGGCUUUACUAAAAUACAUGUGAAAUAACCUCUUAUUGAUGAGUUCUUGAUAUGUGGAUGAAAUUAUCAUUCAACAAGCUAUACGUACAAGGAGAGUGCAUAAUAUACAGCAAAGAGGCAUGCACAGAAAGCGUGUGAGGCCUACAUUUGAUGCUAGAAAAAACUUGCUUCCUCUGUUGUAGCCAAGGGAAUGUUUUGGCCUUUUCAAUGUAGUUUGUUGACUUUUCAAUGCUGCUAGUCAGUCAGGUGAAUACAUGUUUGGAUUCACGGUACCUUAAUGUAAUUUUAUACUAUAAUCAGGGCCGUCCACUUGAAAUAGGAGGUUAGGCUCUCUUUUUAAAAUAGGUUCGUUCAUAGUGAAAUAAAACGUAAUUUUUUUUGUGUAGUUAAAUUUUAUUAAAAAAAAAUCAGAAUCAGAAGAAGUUCUAAACAUGAAUGGAAUUAAAAAAAAAAUAAGUGAAAGAGGUGAAAUUUAUCUAACGGUGUCGUUUGGAUUUGUCACUCCUCUGUUGUAGAAAAUGGUAAAACGAAUGGUUUAUGCGAAGAAAAAAAUGAUUAUUGUGAUUCUUUCAAUGAAAUAACUUUUCAAAUUGACUUAAUUAAGUGAUUAUACAAAUUAGGGGUAGUUUGAUAGGAUCCGAUUUAUGUACAAAAACAAGAACUAGAGUCUAGAAAAAAACUCAAACGUGUAUUAAAGAAAGAAAAGGAUAUAACAUAUAUAUUUUUUAUUUAAGUGGGGUGGUUAUUAGAUUUAAUUUUUCGUUAGAGGACCGUAAUAUUUGGAGACCCGGCCUGGUUGAGCACCAUGCUCACCCUCGAGGCCGGGCCUGACUAUAAUAGAAACAUAUUAUUGUGUACCUUUUAAAAGUACAAUAAAUUUCAAGUUAACUUUGCUUGCUCUUGAGUUUCAGAUAGAAAAAUUGUUUUACUUUUGCUUGAGCAACAAAGAGUACUUGCUUAGAGGCUGUCGCAUAUUGGAAAAGAUCACCAAAAUCUUCUAUAGCAACCAGAUAACUCAAAGAUAUCUGAAAUCCAAGAAGCUACUGGUUUGAGAAAGAUGUUGAAGAAGUUUGAUAAGCGGUUCGGCUAUACAUUCACCGACUAUCAUGUCAAGACACACGCAAAUCAUCUUUACUCUCAUGUAAGACAGGUUUGUGAUAAUGUUUCUAACCCUGACUAUAUCAUGUUUAAUGUUACAAUACUAAUGUUACAAAAUAUAAGAUAAUAUUUUUGUAAUAGAUUCCUUUUAUGUAAUCUUUGUUGUGGGAGUCUUGUCUCAUAAUCUUGCAUGCCUUCAUGAUUUACAGAAAUGUCAAGGAAGCUACAUUUCUAUAUAUAACCAACCUUCUUAUGCUCAUCAAGUUAGUUCUUGAUCCAUUAUUUACAUGAUACUUUUAAUCUUUACUAGCUCUCUAAUCAUUCUUGUGUUUGAUCUAAUGCUAAUUUGAGUAUUCCUGCCUUUUAAUGGUUGACACAAAAAAAUUCGACAAAUAAUUGAAUGGUUAACACAAUUAAAUUAUGUGUUAUGGUUAAUUACGUUUAAUGGAUGGUUAAUGAAUAUAUAAAGGUGUCGCAACUCAUUUAUCAUCAAUUGCACGUAAUUAACUACAAUUUUGAGCACUAUUAACCAUAAUUGUAAUUUAGCUUAAUUUUUUUUUACUUUUGGUUCACUCAUGAGACAAACCUAAGGUAUUCUUCCAACACUUGAUGAGGAUCUCCUUAUGUCUUUUACUUGAAGGAUCAAAUUCUUGAAUUUCCUUCGGUUUUUGGGGAGACAUGCAUGCUUUUAUUUUGCUACAAGAGGAGAUAUCACCAUCUCCAUCUAAAGAAAACAUUGUUGAUGAAAUAUAUCAUUUCAUGUCACUUCUUUUGAACUUGGCAAGCACAUUUUUGUAUAUGGUCGCUACUUACAUCAUUGUACCUAUGACCGGAAACUACUCAUUGAACCUUGGAGCUGCUGCAAGUGUUUGUGGUGUUGUCGUCGGAUCAAUGGCUAUUGCACAAGUUUUUGCUUCUGUUUAUUUCAGUAUGUGGUCGAACCGAUCGUGUCUAAGACUUAUCAUAUUCAGUGUUAUUGUUCAUCUAAUUGUAAACAUCAAGUAUGCAAUGGCCUAUCAUCUCAACUCAGUAGUAGUUCUUCUUAUGGGACGCCUUUUCUGCGAGUAAGUAAAAUACACAUAAUACUCUCAAGUAUCAUACUUUCAAUAAAAAUUUCAUGACAUGACUAUGAUGUUUUUAUUUUUAUCUUCUUAGUAAAACAAAUAUGGUAUGUACGCACGUAUUCAGAAAUGUGUUUAUGAAUUACUUUGCAACAAAUUACAUGUUUGAACUUUACAAUUAGGUUACAGUUAGCAUGACAUUGUGGAAGAGAUACAACACAUGUUCAUGAAGGUGAGAAAAAACACAAGACGGAGGGUUGAAUUGUGUUGGCUUUUUCUUCUUUUUCUCCUAACUGAAAACACAGAUCAGAAGCGGAUAGAGUUAUACUUUUGAAUAGAUGUUCAGAACUAAUUGUAGUGGAUAAAAACAGAGCGAGAGAAGAAAGACACAAGCAAUUUAUACAGGUUCCUUCCACAAACCGGAAGUCAGUCAUGUCCCUCUUGCACUUCCAAGGAGAGUUCACUAUGUAAUAUCUGAUUACAAUUGCUCACUACUAAACUUAGUAAGAGACUUCAAAUGCUCAAGCACAACUGCAAGAGACUUCCUAUGCUCCUGAACACAAUCAAGAGACUUCUAUUGCUCAAGCACAAUUGCAAGAGACUUCUCAAUUCAAACAGAAUUAUAAGAAAAAUGUUUGAGGUUGAACACUUAUAUACAAUCAGUGGUGUUCACAAUACAAAUCAGAUACAGACUCUAAAGACACUAGAAUUUCUAAGAUAUAAGCUUUGAUAAGAAAUUCUAAGUGAACUUUGAAUGCAGAACAAUUUCAGUAGAGUUUCAGCUCAGUAGAGUUGCAGCCAUUAAAACUCUUUCGGAGAGUUUGCCGUCCAUUUGGGUCCCACAAGAUCCGAUAGAUUAGUCUUAGUUGCGUAUGGAGGAUAUCUGGUUUAUGCAAAAAAAAAAAAAAAAAAAAAAAGAGAUUGUUAAUAAAAGAAAGCUAAUAAAAGAAAACACAUUGCUCAUAUUAUAACACGUAAUUUUUGGUGGUGAUAUAACCCGUCAUUUGUUAAAUAAAUUAUUAAUAUAUACCUAAAAUAUGAAUUUAAAUAGGGUCUCGCGAAUGAACAGUGAGAUUGUACCCUUCAGGUUAAUCCGUCAUUGGAUCAGAUAUCGAAUUUAAAAAUAAAAACUACUUAGAAUAUAAAUAAAAUAAAUCUUAGUUAUCUUUAUUGGAAAAAUUAUCAAAAAUGAAUGGUCAGAAUGAAAAUAAUGAGAACAUGUAGGCAAACAAAAUUAUUUCCUUAUAAAUAUAUGCAAACAAAAUUAUUUCCUUGUAAAUAUAUGAAAUUGAUUAAAAUAAAUAACUUAAUCAAAUAAUCAUCUAGAAUUUCCUCUACCAAUUUAAUAUUUACAAAAUGAAUGAAUUACCAAUUAAAUUUGACAAAAUCUAUGCUAAUGAAAUAUAAUUUAAAAUGAAAUUUAAUGAAUGAGAAACGAAUAAAUAGUUUGAAAAAAAGGAUAAAACUCGUGUGAAUUUCAUUAUAUGUUUUUCAUAUGAUUCUUAGGUAAAAAUACAUUUUUAAUGAGUAGUUUAUUUCGGAACCAUACGAAAAACAUCUAAGAAAAUGCACCAAGUUUUUUGAUAGAAUUAAAUAAGGAUAAAACUUAGGUGCAUUUUCUUAAAUACUUUUCGUGUGGUACUUUAUAUAAAAUACUCACAACUACCUAUGAUUUUUCCAAUCCACAAUUUUUUCAACAUUUGUUAUAACCACAAAAAAUGAAUUUUAAUUAUGUGAGGAACCAUACGAAAAACAUGUAAGGAAAAUGGACCGAAGUUUUGUCCUUAUAAUUAAGGAUAUUUUUUGAAUGACAAAUAUCAACAAUUAGUUGUUAAAAAAGGACACAAAGUAUAUAAAUGAAUAAAAAAAAAUCAAAUGAAUAUAAUAUAAUAGUAGACUUAUGAAGGGGAAAAAUAAUAGUAAUAGUAGCAGUAAAUAGGGAUGCAAAAAAAAUAUAUAUGCAUGAUAUUCAUAGAUAAAAUCGACCAUUGACACACAGUGAAUAGCUUAACAUGUACACAGAGAUAAAAUAAAUUAAUAUUUCAAGUAAUUUAAGUUAAUGGAUACAUAUGUAGAAGUAUUGGUAUCUCUAGACACAAUUUAUAAUGAUAAUUAAGACGUGUAAUUGUGUAGAGAUAUUUAUACUAUAUAAAACAUUGGUUUUUCACUUAAAAAAUUGUUAAUGUAUUAGUAUAGUACAUGUCCAUAAUAAUCAAAUUAUACAUUUAAAUAAUAUUUUUAGAAAAUAUAAAAAAUAAACUUAUUGGAUCCAAUUAUUUUGUAGUUAAAUUUAAAUCUAAAUAUGUUGCUAAAAAUUAAAAUGAUAAACAAUUAAACCCUAUUUAAAAAUUAGAAUACAAAGAAACUCUUUUGAAAUUUGGACGUGACUGAAAUUUGGUGCAUUUUGUUGAGAUAUUAAUUUUUGAUAGAUAAAAAGAAUAAGUUAAUUUUACAAAAUUAAAAAAUUACAUAAAUUAACAUGGAAGUGGUCACGUGCAUGAAAAAAUAAAAUAUAAUUUUUAAACAUUUCAAUAAAAUAUUUAGAUGUCACAUUGUGACAACUAGGGUACCCAUGGAAGAAUGGUGGGUAAUUUACCCCAACCAAUACACAUUAGCCACAUAAGCACAUUUUUAAGUGGUAUCCAUGAACUAUCUUGACCCCACCAACAAAUUGCUCAUUUUCAUUGGUUGGUGGGUAAAUUACCCAUCAUUCUUCAAAGGUAAUCUAGAAAAAACCUAAAACAUUUAGAUGUCACAUGUAUAAUAUAACAUAAAGCUUAACCGAAAAUUGAUCAAUUGAUGAUUCGGUUAAGCUUUAUGCAUUCGAUUAAUAGAAAAUAAUUUCUUUGACCACUUCAGUUUGCUUCAUCAGAAAAUUAGAUAAUAUAUGAGGUAAGACUCCAGUUUCAAUGAAUGAAAUUCAAAAUUAUAUACCUACACUACGGGGAGAUUAUCAUCACUACUAAAUCAUAUGACAUGUUUGCGUACGAAAUUUGACGAAUGCACAUGUUUUUUUUAUAUAUGUACAUGAAGUAAAAAUAACAAUAAAAAACUCACAAAAUUAUGAGGUUUUAGUUUCGAAUUUGAAUGAAAAGAUCCAAUCUAACAAUAUCGUCGUUUGUCAGGUUGAAUUGGGUCUUACGAACAAUAUGAUUGUGGAUCUCAAUUGAGUCGCUUUCUCUUGGGUCUUAUACAACAAUAUGGAUUAAGUUGAACUAAGAAGCAAGCAAACAUUUUGUAUAAUAAAUUAUUAAUGAAAGUUAGAGUUACAAUCUGAUUUGAAAGAACUCAUGCACAAACCAAAACAUAACAGGAUAUAAAAUUGAGGACCAAAUUACAAUGACAUUAACAUAAAUAACCAUAUAAUUCAUAAUUCAAAAAAUUCAAAUAAAUAUGGCAAUGUAUCUUGCCAAAAGAUUAACACAAAUACUUGUAUUAAUAACAAUAUAAAGCUUCCUAAGUCUCUCAUGCAAAGAUGACUGCAAUUGCAACCAUGAUUGCCAUGACAACUCCAAACAGAGAUGAAACAACAGAGUGAGCAUCAGAAGAAGGUGGUGGAGAAGGAGCAGGUGCACCUUCGGCUAGAACAGUGAUGACCAACUUCAUUUGACGAGCCGAACAGUGAUCAGCAACUCCACAAACAUACCACUUUCUUCCUUCUGUUUUUAGUUGAAUGAUAUCCUUUCCUGUAGAAAGUGCUUCAUUUUUUGGUGGAAAAGUGCAGCUUUGAAAGAGUGUGCCAUUUACUUUGAAAACAUUGUGCCUUGCCGGAUCAUAGUUGAAAACUAAAAAGAAGAAGAUGAAACAAAAUUAGUUCAUAUUAGAUUAAUACAUGUUCAUCUAAACAAAAGUUAAUUAUAAUCAUAAUAUGCACUAACUAGUUAUGCAGUUGAUUAUAAACUAAAUAAACUUGAAACCAAAUGAAAAUUUGUUUUUUCCCUUUUACAUACCUAAGUUGUCUCCAACACGGAAAACUUUGUCUUGAGCCCAUUGAGUGUAAUCAAAAUCAACGGUCCAACCCUUGUCAUCACCAACAAUGUGAUCAGUUGCAAUUGCAACUGAUGAAAGUAAAACCAUGGAAAUGGAAAGGAUCAAAACUACACGAGAAGAAGCCAUUUGAUCAAAAUUUGAUUUUGGAAAAUAUUUCUCUCUAAAUGUAGAAAUUAACUUUAAAAAAAUGAGUGUCAAAAUUUUAUUUCCUAGAAUAAAAUCUCAAUCAAAGGAAUAGCAAGUUAGCAAAUGUAAUUGUUUUGAUUUGAUUUGAUGAAUUGUGCAUAUCAACUUAGGCUAUAUAUAGUUGUCAUGUGUGGGUGUAUUGAUUUUAUCGUCACAACAAUAAUAGAAUAUUUGUUUGCUAUUAUAAACGGCUACCGGAUUUGGUCGGCUUUUUACUAAGACGAGGUUGAAUUUCCACAACUUAUUAUUUUUUUUUUUACCUUUUUGGAAUACACUUAUAUUAUUUUAUAUUAAUGUAAAGAAACUUUCUAUCACUUGAACAAAAAGAAAGUUUUCUUUUGUUUUUAUUUAACCACGUGGACAUACUUGUUUUUAUUUGGCAGUAAACAAGUAUGCAAUAUAGUGUGGACCGUGUCAAAGGGAAAUAGAAACAGUAUAUAUAGUUCCUCUUCCGGGCUUCGUUAUAAUUGAGUUGUCUCCAUGCAGAAAGUUUACACAUAAAUAAUGUUUGUUUCUUACGAGUUUCUUUAUUUGGAAAAUUAGAGAUGUAAUCGAGUAUUGACACUUGGAGUACAAAUACUUGAGGAGUCUCGAAUAUAUCAAGUUCUCAAGCUUAAAUUAGAGAUGUAAUCGAGUAUUGACCUUGUUUUGGCUCCCUAAGUGAAUUUUCUUGCCUUGCUUUCCUUAAACACUCUGACUUAUCUCUUUCCUUGCUCGCAUAUAUGCUCACUCGUUAAUUGAUACCCCAAGUCAUCUUUGAUCUUUUAAACCUACAAAUGUAAUGGAAAUAGGUCAUGGUAGCUACAAUGCUACUCAAAACCUAAUUAUCUAAUAUUUAUAACGAACUAGAGGAAUUUCAUGAAAUUUCUUUCAAACCAAAUUUAAUGGAGUUUAGAAAAUUUGGCACGUAUCAAUUACCUUAGAAGUUAUGAUGUUUAAUGUUUGUAUAACUAAGGAGUAAGUGUAAAAGAUAUAUUAAAGAUGGGAGCACAAGAUCUACUAUAAUCGCAACAUUUCAAAUAGAUUAACCAACUCUUAAGCAACGCAUUGAGUUAGAAUACCAAUCAAAGAAGCGGUAUUGUAUCCUUCUAUAGCUCCUUAAAAACACAUCUCCCUCUCUCAUACUAAGCAAUGUGGAAUUUUUUGUUUGGUAUACUUUUUAAAGGAUAAAAGAAAGAAAAAAAUAGGACAUAUAUACUCAUAUCUUGUUUGCUACACUUGUAUUUUAUUAUUUGAAUUCAUUUUUAUUUAUUUGUUAUAGACGAUAUUUUUAUUGAAAGUCGAGGGCAAAUAUUGGAAAGAGAAAAAGUCAUCCUAAAAAAAAUCAAAACAUGCUAUUUUCUUUAAACAGUAUAGAUAUAGAUAAAUUAAAACUAUAUAUACAUUAGUGGCUUGUAACAAAGUCUUCCCUAAAAAAAAUGUAAAAACUCAACAAACAAUUAUUUUUUUAACGACAACAAUAAUAUAACAAAUGUACCAAAAUUCUUAUUUUUUUAGUAACAAUAUAAACAUAACAAUACUCACAAAUCUAUAUAUAUAUAGGCUCCUUCUACUGUACACCCAUAUAUUUGUAUGUAUCAAUACUCCAAACUAAAAUGGUCAAUAGUUUUUUGACAGCAUGGAACAAGUAAGUUUGAUUGGAUUAUAGAAUUAGCACCACCAAACUUGUGAGUUUUACACUUUGGGGCUUUUAUUUUAUGAUAUAAUUAAUUUUACUUUGAUUUAACAUAAAACAAGUUUAAAUUGUUACUUCUUCUUCUUCAUGGCAGUUCUUCUUCUUAAUCUCUUUCAUUGCAACCCUUGCUUGUAUGUGGGAAACUACAAGAACUAAUUUGACAGAUUUUAAUUGAACUUUGCUGUUAUUUUUUAUAGCAAAAAAGGGGAUAGCUAUCAAAAACACUCACCGCACUACAAAAAAGGGGAACAACAAGAAAAACAACACAAAACAAGAUAGAUUGAUAGCUAAUUAGAAGUAAUAGGUAAUUGGAUUGAUAAGAAAGAUGACCUCUUUAGCAAAGGAUUAUGGAUUAUGUUUAUGAAACAACAUUCCAAACAUCAAGUAUAAGAAAAAACAUAAAAUUGUACCAGUAAAAUACAAGAAAAAAAGGUCACGUAUAAGAAAGCCAUGCCAUCAAUUUUUUCAAUUAAAAUUCAGUAAGCAAAAUUAAUGGUGAGAAAGAAACGAAGGAACAGUACAUAGAUUAUGUUUUUGUUCUGUUUCCGGAAAGAAAAAGAGAAGAUUACGUUUGAGAAGAUGAAUGUUGGAGAGAAAAUUGCGAUGACCGUUAAUGAUUUGGUUUUGUUUUGAUUAAAAGAAUUAAUUAAUUAAUUUUCUAAAAUAGUAAUUUGUACAAUUUUUGGGGGUUAAAUUGAAUAGAAAAGUGUACCAAAACUCUUUCCCUCAAGUCAAUCCUUAAUAAUGUUGGCAUUGAUCAUUUAAUUGAAAUGGUUAUUAUUGGUUAAAUAUUUGAGAGUACCAAAACACUCAAUUUUGUUUAAAGUACCAUAAAAAUUGCCAUAUAUAUACCCUAGUCGAAUAACAAAAUUCAUCAAAUCAAAACAAUAACAUUUUCGAAGCAUUUGCUAGCUAGCAAUUCUUUUCAUUGAGAUUCAUUCUAGGAACAUUUUCCCCGACACAUAUUUUACAUUUAAUUUCCAUACUUAGGAGAGAAAUAUAUUUCAAACCUAAAUUUUGAUCAAAUGGGCUUCUCGUGUGUUCUUGAUCCUAGCUAUUUCAAUGGUUUUAUUUUCCUCAGUUGCAAUGGCUACUGACACUACUAAAAAAACAAAAAUUAAUAAGGGAUACUUAGUGAGGGAAAACAUGAAAUUCCUCUCUAAUUCCGUCACUAAAUUUUACGACCAAAGAAUUUGUGAGGAAUUUCAUUUUUUGGUCACUAAUUUCCCUCGCUAAUUUUGUUUUUUCUAGUAGUGUGAUCAUAUUGUGGGUGAUGACAAUGGCUGGACUAUUAACUUCAAUUACACUCAAUGGGCGUAAGACAAAGUUUUUCGUGUUGGUGACAAUCUUGGUAUGUAAAAGGAUAAUACGAUUUUCCAUUUGGUUUAAAGUUUAUUUAGUUCAUACUCGAUUACUAAAUUCAUUAUUGUAUAUCAUAAUUUUAACUUUUAUAGAUGAACUGGUAUUAAUCUAAUACGAACUAAUUACGUUUUAUCUUCUUUAUUUUUAGUUUUCAACUAUGACCCUUCAAGACACAAUGUUUUCAAAGUGAACGGCACAUUCUUUCAGAGAUGCACUUUUCCACCACAAAACGAAGCACUUUCUACCGGAAAGGAUAUUAUUCCCCUAAAGACUGAAGAAACAAAGUGGUAUGUUUGUGGCAUAGCUGAUAACUGUUCUGCUCGUCACAUGAAGUUCAUCAUCACUGUUCUAGCAGAAAGUGCCCCUGCUCCUUCUCUUCCACCUUCUUCUGAUGCUCAUUCUGUUGUUUCAUCUGUGUUUGGAGUUGUCAUGGCAACCAUGGUUGCAAUUGCAGUCAUCUUUGCAUGACUUAGGAAGCUUUAUAUUGUUUUUAAUACAAGAGUUUGUGUUAACCUCUUGGCAAUUUUUUUAAUUAAUGAUGUUUCUUUAUUUUAAUGAUAUUGUAAUUAGAUCUUCAAUUUUAUAUUUCCUUAUGCUUUAACUUGUUCUUGAUUUUUUUUAUUUGAAAUUUUUGCAUCUGUCACAAGAAUUGUACUUCAAAAAGGUCCUUGACAGGUUUGGAAUGUUAAAUUUUAAACUUGUAGCAACACUUAUAUCUCAGCAAUUCAAGUUAGGUGUAAACAAGUAUGCAAUAUUGAGACCUUAUAGCCGUAAUUUCUAAGAUUGUUUAUGAAUCAAGAGAAUGAAAUAAUUCAAGAGAACAACUAUAAACUUAUCAUUAUUCUGAUUGGGAACUUUCACAUUAUAAACUUGGAGGUUUCUAUAUUAAUAUGUAUGAUUUCCCCUUGUGGUGUAAACCAUUACUACCUCUUUUGAACUAUAACUAUCAGUGAAACAAUGUGAAAAAUUCUUUGCGAUGUUUUAGCUUCAAGUUAAGUGUAUCGUAGAGUAUGAUAGUUCUGAAAGCAAAAAACAUUUAAAUUUUUAGUUUUAAUCAAAAUCAAAAUUUCAUAAAAAAAAAAAAAAAACAACACAUUUUCAAACGUUAGUGCAAUAAAAACGUGUCCAUCUUUUCGCUAGUUAUGAAGAGAAUAUGGGAUUUUGUGUUGCCUUUUUUGUUAUUCCAACUAUAUCCUUAAACAAAUUUUUUCUAUAAUAAUGUUAUAUUGUUGUUGUCAUUUAGAAAGAUAAAUAUGGUUUGUUACAUUUGAAAUUCAUAAAUAUUUAUAUUUAUAAUUUUAAUUUAUGUAAAAUAUAUAUAUAUAUAUAUAUAUAUAUAUAUAUAUAUAAAAUAUCGUUUAAAAUUUACAUGCAAAAUUUUCUAUAAAUUAUCGUUGAUAAUCUACACACAUCAAUAAAAAAUUAACAAAAACAAAAAGAAUUUUAUAUUAUAUUAAAAAUUAAUUUAUUAAAACUAGAUUUUUUUUAUUUGAAGUAAGAAAUUAAAAUAUUUAAAAGUAAAGUUAUCAUUAAAAAUUACAAAAAUAUGAACAUUUAUAUAUAUUUUGAACAAAUAACUUGAUCAGGUAAAAUAUGGUUAUUGUGUUCGUUAUCAUGUUCCGCUGUAAAUGGAUUGGGAAGGGCUAAUUUUGCCUAGAUAUGGAAACCAAGCCUUGUAGAGGACUCUUGAUUUGGUUAUAGUUUAAAAAAAGUCUAAUGUUGCUUUGGAUGAGAUUAAAAUAGUCAAAAUAAGUUACCUCUAAAAAAAUUGAGCAUAUUUUGCUCCCUCAAAUAUUUUUCAUCACAAUUUGGUUUGUAAGUCAACUCACACGCAUCCUUCAUAUUUUUAAAUAAAUUUUUAUAGAGAUGUUUAAAAACAUUAUAAAAAUUUCUCCUAACAAAUUUAAAAUUUUAAUUUAACAAAAAUAUUUUUAAGCGUUAAAAGCUUAAAAAUUUAUAUGUAAUUUAUCCCUUGUUAAAAAAUUAAAAUUUUAGAUGACACUUUUAUAAUAUACGAAACAUAAGUUUAUAAUGUAAUUCAAAAUCUCAAAGAAUACACAUGCGUUUACUAAAAGCGGGACCAAAAGUCAUGAUGAAACUAUAUAUAUGUGCUCUUAGGAUACACGUUAACAUGACCCUAACUAUAAUCCCCGUUAUAGUUGCCAAAUCGUGAAAAAAUGAAGAAAAAAAAAGGUUGGGUAAAUUUCUAAAAUAUAAAAAUGAACAAAAAUGGGUUGAGAGAAGGCAAUAAGCAACAACAAUAGACAAUAAAAAAAACAAUGAGAGAAUGAUGUCAAUCAUCAAAUCUACGUUGAGUAAUGGAACGAUUAAAAAAAAAAUUAGAUGGUACCUUGAAGAGAAUAGUGAAAUUCAAAAUCCAAAUAGCAAACACUUGAUGAACACCUCAAAGAUCGUGGGUUUUAAUAGAAGAUCGUGGAGUGGGAAUAUUUUCUCAAGUGUUUGUGGUGUAUUUUCUCAAGUGUUUGAGUGAACCAAAGUCCAGAAUGAGAGCACUUGAUAUGUAUCUUUCUUUCUUUCUCAAGUGUUUGUGAUGUAUUUUCUCUUUUUGAUAUAGGGAAUCGAUUCUCUCACGUGAAAUUCUCUCGUUAUUAAGUUUAACUAUUCAUCGUACUCCAUAAAACAAUUCCACUUGUUAUUAAAAAGCAUGUCUUUAGUUUACCUGAUAAUUUACAUAAUUUAUUUAUUAGAAAGAAGAAAAAAAUUAAUUAAAGUGUUUUUUUCUUCCACCAUUAAUCAAAAUACUUGAAUUUUGUUUUCCCAAAGUACAAAAAGAACAAUAAAAGUGAGAUACAUCCUCGUUCAUUAACAACACAUUGUUUAAAACUCUUUUUGACCUACACUCAUUUAUCUUGAUAUAUAUCCUUCUAAUAUAUUUUUUUAUACAAAAAAAUAAUAAUUUUUAGUUAUUGAAUAAGUUGUAGAAUCCGUCUCUAUGAGCUUAGCUCAAUUGGUAUAAUGAACAUUUCAUUAUAUAUACGUGGAUCUGGGUUCGAACCCCACACAUCUUACUCAUUCGUUAACUUAAUUUCAUAUAACAAUUUCGUUCUUUAUCUUUUUUACGUCAUUUUUUUUUUUGUCAGUUUACAUGAGUUUUCAAACAUCAAAUGUAAAAUUCAUAUGAAAACAUGAACGAAUGAUCGUAUAUUUGAGCACAAAGAGCUCAAAUUGAAAUAUAUAAAACAGCAGAUUUGAAUCUUGAAAAUUCAUAUACAAAUUGAUCAAAAUGACGUGAAAAAAAAUAUGUAUAUGGUAAAAUUAUUAACUGAAAUUAAGUUAAAAGAGUUGAAUAAUUUUGUCACAAAUUUUUUUUUUCAAGUCUUCGGAGACUAAGCCAAAAUGGAUGAUUAUCAAAUUGGCGCAGUAGUAAAUUGCAAAGUGCAAAACAGGGCACCCCACAAAUGAGUACGAUAAAAAAAAAAAAAAAAAAAAAAUCAGGAUAUCUUCUGUGAUCGAGAAAAGGUUCUUACAAGUGAAGGAGGCUUCCACCCUUGCCACACCUAUACUUGAGGUUCAACUGCGUGAACUCAAAGACAUAGUCAGAAUUUAAGUAGUUCCAAACUCCCUCUUCGUCAACCUAAAUUUUAAAAGUUAUACUAAUCUUCUCAACAACAAAAAAAAUCCUCACUCCACAAUCAAGCAUACAUAUGCAAUAUCACUUACAAACUAUCAACGAUUAAUAAAGAGAAUUGAUAAACCUUUUAGGUCCUGCUACGUUUAGGAUUGAAAAAGAUGCAAAAUCUAAAUGACAUUACCGGUCAAAUCAAGUGCUGUUAACCAAUUACGAUCUCCGAAUUGACAUAUGCAAUUUAGAAAUUAAAUCAGAAUAUCCAUACAAAGUUUGUAAGUAAAUUGAAAGAACAUAGCAUAAAUUAAUGAUUGAAAACAACUAUAAUCUAUGAUCAAAGCACAUAUAUAGUUUUAUAAAAUGAUUUAGCAAGAUUCUCAAAAAUUGGGUGGCUCGGUAGACUCCUCUAAGUUCUAACACAAAUCGCAUCAUAUUUUCAAACAGCAAUCGAAGUCAAAAGAAAAUAUACAUAUGACAAGCCACAUGGUCAUGUCACACUUGGUUAUGACAUCGGGAAGGCAUAAAUGUCGUAUUGUACUCCCAUACCAGUCACCAUAAAGUAUAACCAGAUACGAAAAAAUAUGGUGAAGGUAAAUAUUACAGUACUCUGUCUGGACAAGUUGCACUUGGCUAAAGAAUAGUCCAUUCCAAAAUCAUGCAUCUCAUUCAAGCAAUGUUCUUCAGAAUAUAAAUUAAUCAUAAAUACAAAGAGAUUAUUCCAAAAUCACUCAUCUGUAGCUUCAUUAGAUGAGGUUGAGCAGCUCCCCCGAGAUAGGUUUUCUUCCCGGAGUGUCACGACAGAGCUAAAAUUAUCUAGUAAGCAUUCUUCAUACAUAACCAUGAGCUUCUUAGCUACCUAUUUAAAUCAUGAAUAAGUGGACAUUGUUAGCAUUCUUCAUACAUAAAAUAGAAAUCAUGAAUUUAAGAAAAUAGAAGAACCAAAAAUAAAACGAAGCCAAAAAUUCAUAAUAGGAAUAAGAGAUAAUUCUAAAGCAAUAUAAAAAAUGGAAAAAUGACAUAUACCUCUUGAGUGGUGGCAAAGGCAUUUUUAGCAAGAAUAGGGAGAGGAUACAGUUCGUUCCUGAUUAUCCAUUCUAUGUAAUCAAAAGAAACCGGCUCUUUUUCCAACAAAAAAAGGAAGAAGGAUAAAAUUAGAAUAGAUAAAAAAAAAAAAAAAAAAUCAAUUAAGUGAUUAAUUUAAUGUGCUUACUUAUGGUUUGAGUGAACCAAAAGAGGAUGUCUUCAGCAAGUUGUUGAAGCAUUAGGGAGGGAUUAGAGCCACAUUUGUUGUGAAUGAAGACAUGACGCACCCACAAAUCCUCCAUAAGCAAACCAACCCCUUCUUCAAAAACUCUGAUUGAGUUAGUAAGAUUAGAACAAUCAAUCUCGGAUGAAGAAUUAGCCUUCAAAUUAAAUAUACAAAAACUGUUAUUAUGAGGAAAGGAAAGGAAAGGGGGACACAGUAAUAACCAGGUAAGUUAAGGUCGAUUAUAUGUUACCUGGAUUAGAGAACAACUAACGUUGGCUUCCUGGAUGAUAUCACCAGAGGGAGUUGUUUCCAUUCCAUACUUUUUGAGGUAAGUUUCCAUUCCAAACUUAGUUACCUCUUCCUCAAAUGUCUCAAGGUAGGAGGGGGGAAUAUCACCAAGGCGAAUACUGAGAAGAAUAGAAUUCUUGAAUCUCUCUUUAAAAGAGGUGGAUUGGCUUAAAUCCUUAAGGUAGUCCUGCCAUAAACAAUCUUGCAGGUAAAGUAUGGUCUUCUUCUUUUUCUGAAUAGAGGGUAGGCUAUCUAUUUGAAACUUAUUUACUCGUUUCCGAUGAGCAUCGGCUUCCUUGAGAAUCUGAACAGAGCUAAAAUCAUGUUGUAAGCAUUCUUGGUACAUAGAGACUAGUUGAUCACACACCUACAAAAUAAGAGUAAAGAUUGAUUGCAAACACGGACGGUAAAAAAAAAAAAAUGAUUAUUGAAUCAAUAAAAAUAAGGGCACACACCUCUAGAAUGCUGUUAUCCUCAGGAGGAACAUUACUAAGGAAAGAAAUAAGUUGAAAUUUGAGUUGAAGUUUAAUAGUUGCUGAAGGCAGGUGUUUGGAUCGAAUGAAACGAGAAAAUAUGGUGUCACAAAGCCAUUCAACACAUCGCUCGGGGGACGACUCAUAGUCACAGAGGCUUUUGCGCCUAAUUUUCAAUCGAAUAACCCACCAAAAGUUGAUAGCCAAACUAAUCCCUUCCCUAAAUACUUUCAUUGAAUCCUCUUCUAAAUCCAUCUGAGAAUUAACAAUAGAAAAAAACACAUAAUUAAAAAGUAUAUUAAUAUUCUAUGCAUCGAUAUGAAAACAAACUUCAACGAUAGACAAGAACGAAAGCAAAGGGGUAUAUUACCUUAACUUCCAAAACAACGGAAUUGUCCAUAGCUGAUUAGAUGAAUGGGAACAAAUGAAUGAAUCGCGCACUCGAUUGGAACGAGAACGAUAACGAAAACGAGAAGCAGUUUAUCCCUAGGGUUUCCAGUUCUGCUUUUGCUACGGAUUCAUGGAUUUAUAUUUAGUUAGUAGUGUGCGGUUUGGUUCGUUUUGAGGUUAAAAGUCAUCUGAACGAUAAAAAACAUGCGGUUUGGUUUGGUUUUGUUGAUUUUUAAAAUUAAAUUCGAACCAAACCAAACCAAAUUAAUGUUGUUUGGAUUGGAUGUUCAGUGCAAUUUUUUUCAAGACAAUACAAUUAUUUGUUUCCAACAUUAAAAUCAAGUUAUUAAAAACCUAAAAAACAACAUGUUUCGAGUAAUGUUUCCCACAAUGUUUUAAAUUUUAUCCAACAAUGUUUUCAACUACAUAGACCAAAUUAAAAACAUGCACAAAAAAUAAUUCUAUUUUGUAACAAAUGCAAAAGAGUAUGAUUUUAUCAUUCUAUAAAAUUUUAAAUACAUUUUUGAAAUAAAAAGAAAAGAAGAAACUUUUUUUUUUUAAUCGGCAAAUAUUAUUAAACGCCAUCCCCGCAAUACGCAAGGUAUGGACGAAGCAAGAUACAAAUGGUUCUGUAUAUAGACGGUACACCAUAACCACCUAAAAACACCCCUGGAAAUAAACCCACCAAAACACAUCACCACCUAAACCUAAAACAGACUCCUUCAAAAAAAAAAAAAGCACUGUAAACACGGUGUCCAGAAGGUAAUAUAUUUUUUUCUACUUUUUCGAUGUUGUUUUAUGUUGUGGUGGUGGUGGUGAGGCGUGGGAGUGGUGGUGUUUCGGUUGAGGGAAGAGAAGGGUGUUUGUUGGGGGUGAUUUCCUUUGAAGGCAACCUCUGUUACUCGGGUCUAUGUUCGUCGUCACUAGCUCCUGUUUUGUGCUUUUUUGGGUGGUUUAGGUAUUUAGGGUGUUUGGAGGGAGCGGGUCCCGUUGUGUCGAGCCUUUUCCUUUCGAUAGGUUGGUUGUUUAAACUUUGCAUGCCAUGUCAUUCGUAUUACAUAUUGUGUGUUGGUUUCCGGUGGGCCGAUUACUUUUGCUUCGAGAUCGGUAGUCCGGGUCUAGUUGUAAUCUUUGUUUAGCUUGAUUUGGUUUUCUCUGGUGUACCGGGGGCGAGGGGUGCCCUGUUAAUUUGGUACUAAAGUCUGGUGAGACGAUCACUUUUGAUUCGAGAUCGGGAGUCAGUUCUUUGUCUCAAGUUCGUUUGUGGGCAUUUGUUUUGUGCUCUUUCGGUGGAUCGGAGGUCGCGAGGUUGUGAAAGCUACAUGAUCCUUCGGUCAGGUGCUCUUCGAAUUGUGGCUCAGCUUGGUUGUUGAGGUCUGAGAGUUUUCUUUUGAGGGUGUUCUUUGGGGGUGAGUAGAAAAGAAGAAACUUAACAAGAGAAAAAACAUGUCAUUUUAUAAAAGUUCACAUUGAGUUUCUAUGAAUUUUAGUAUAGAUGACAUAUGUUUAAAUUUAAUUAGUAUUUUUUUUUUUUAUGUUGCGGUUUGGUUUGGUUCGGUUGAGAAAAUAAAAACCACAAACCAAAUCAUGCGGUUAAGUAAAAAUAUGAUCUGAAUACAUCUGAAUCAAAUACGGUAUUUUGCUGUUUUGAUUUGUGUUGUUUCGGUUUACGGUUUAUCUAUUGGUUUGGUUUAGUUGUGAGCACCCCUGUUUACUAGUGUGUUAAUCUAUGCAUGCAUAUUCAAUCUCAGAUUUUUUAUUUUCUUAUUUAUCAAUGAACUUUUUUUUUUUGAAAUAUCAUCAAUGAUUAUUUAAAUAUGUCUGUAAUUAUUAUUUUUUUACUGCAAUGAUGACAAAUAUGUGUCCCAUAUUUUUUAUUUUUGUUAGUGGUAAAUAUAUGUCUCAUGUUCAUUAUGUAUCAAUCACAAAUUUGUCCCUUGUUUUUUCUUCUAGAUUUACCAAUGACAAUAUUUCUCCCGUAUUUUUUAUGAAUUAAUGACUAAUAUUAACAUUGUUUUUUUUUAUUAGUGAAAAAUAUUUAACUCGUAACUUUAUAUGUAUCGAUAAUAAAUAUUUCUCCUAUUUACUUUUUAUAUAUGUAUAAUAACAACAAAUAUAUGUAUGUGACUGUUUAAAAUAUAUAUAUAUAGUUAUGAACCUCAACAAUGAACAAUCCCUCUCCACAUCCUAUACUUACAUUACAUUCAUUAAUCAUUAUAACUACACCGCUAGGUAGACUUUCAAUAUAAUAGCCUCAAUAUAUUGGGAUCAAAUUACAAUAAUAUUAUAAAUCAAUCAUCAUAUAUAAUUUAUUGAAGAAGAAAAAAUCAAACAAAUAUGGCAAUAUAUUGCUGCCAAGUUGCCAAUGCAAACUCUUAUUUGAAUAACAUGACAAAGAUUGAGAAGUGAUGAUGUCUCUUAAGCAAAAAUGGUUGCCAUGGCCACUAUGGCUACCAUGACAACUCCAAACAUAGAUGAUACAAUAGAGUGAGCAUUAGAAGAUGGAGGAGGGGAAGGAGCAGGUGCGCCUUCUGCUAGAACAGUGAUGACAAAUUUCAUUUGAUGAGCAGAACAAUGAUCAGCUACGCCACAAACAUACCACUUUCUUCCUUCUGUUUUUAGUUGAAUGAUAUCCUUUCCCGUAGAGAGUGCUUCAUUUUUUGGUGGAAAAGUGCAGUCCUUAAAAAGUGU